GUGCUUAACACAUGCAAGUCGAACGGAAAGGCCCUGUUUUUGUGGGGUGCUCGAGUGGCGAACGGGUGAGUAACACGUGAGUAACCUGCCCUUGACUUUGGGAUAACUUCAGGAAACUGGGGCUAAUACCGGAUAGGAGCUCCUGCUGCAUGGUGGGGGUUGGAAAGUUUCGGCGGUUGGGGAUGGACUCGCGGCUUAUCAGCUUGUUGGUGGGGUAGUGGCUUACCAAGGCUUUGACGGGUAGCCGGCCUGAGAGGGUGACCGGCCACAUUGGGACUGAGAUACGGCCCAGACUCCUACGGGAGGCAGCAGUGGGGAAUAUUGCACAAUGGGCGGAAGCCUGAUGCAGCAACGCCGCGUGCGGGAUGACGGCCUUCGGGUUGUAAACCGCUUUCGCCUGUGACGAAGCGUGAGUGACGGUAAUGGGUAAAGAAGCACCGGCUAACUACGUGCCAGCAGCCGCGGUGAUACGUAGGGUGCGAGCGUUGUCCGGAUUUAUUGGGCGUAAAGGGCUCGUAGGUGGUUGAUCGCGUCGGAAGUGUAAUCUUGGGGCUUAACCCUGAGCGUGCUUUCGAUACGGGUUGACUUGAGGAAGGUAGGGGAGAAUGGAAUUCCUGGUGGAGCGGUGGAAUGCGCAGAUAUCAGGAGGAACACCAGUGGCGAAGGCGGUUCUCUGGGCCUUUCCUGACGCUGAGGAGCGAAAGCGUGGGGAGCGAACAGGCUUAGAUACCCUGGUAGUCCACGCUGUAAACGGUGGGUACUAGGUGUGGGGUCCAUUCCACGGGUUCCGUGCCGUAGCUAACGCUUUAAGUACCCCGCCUGGGGAGUACGGCCGCAAGGCUAAAACUCAAAGGAAUUGACGGGGCCCCGCACAAGCGGCGGAGCAUGCGGAUUAAUUCGAUGCAACGCGUAGAACCUUACCUGGGUUUGACAUGGAUCGGGAGUGCUCAGAGAUGGGUGUGCCUCUUUUGGGGUCGGUUCACAGGUGGUGCAUGGCUGUCGUCAGCUCGUGUCGUGAGAUGUUGGGUUAAGUCCCGCAACGAGCGCAACCCUUGUUCACUGUUGCCAGCACGUUAUGGUGGGGACUCAGUGGAGACCGCCGGGGUCAACUCGGAGGAAGGUGGGGAUGACGUCAAGUCAUCAUGCCCCUUAUGUCCAGGGCUUCACGCAUGCUACAAUGGCUGGUACAGAGAGUGGCGAGCCUGUGAGGGUGAGCGAAUCUCGGAAAGCCGGUCUCAGUUCGGAUUGGGGUCUGCAACUCGACCUCAUGAAGUCGGAGUCGCUAGUAAUCGCAGAUCAGCAACGCUGCGGUGAAUACGUUCCCGGGGCUUGUACACACCGCCCGUCAAGUCAUGAAAGUUGGUAACACCCGAAGCCGGUGGCCUAACCGUUGUGGGGGAGCCGUCGAAGGUGGGACUGGUGAUU
RNAcentral lists this ribosomal RNA (1425 nucleotides) under uncultured organism. Its description in RNAcentral is "16S ribosomal RNA". It matches the Rfam family "Bacterial small subunit ribosomal RNA". The record is from RNAcentral.